RNAcentral lists this long non-coding RNA (1155 nucleotides) under Cyanistes caeruleus (blue tit). RNAcentral describes it as "lncRNA (ENSCCEG00000019663.1)". Lineage: Eukaryota; Metazoa; Chordata; Aves; Passeriformes; Paridae. The record is from RNAcentral.
GCCAGCAGUGAGAGCAGUGCACCAUUUCUCCAUGGGUCCAAGCACGUGUGCAUCCAUCCACAGCCAGCUGUGACCCACGCCCUGUAGCACUGGUGAGGAGGAACACGAGCAUCACUGUGCACUGAUGUAGUACAGCCACUAAAGCACUUUAAAACUGAUGACAGCGAGCUCUUUCACAGUGAGAACCUCAAUCAAGCCAUUACAAAAACAGCUUACCACAGCAUAACUCAGUGCAAGUCCUCUCUUCUCUCCUUCCUCACUUCCCAUGGAUAUACAGACCACCAGAACAGAAGAACAAAAGGCAGUGACAAAAAAAUUGGAAGUGUAUUUCAUAGCAAAACACUUAAUUAUUACAUGAAGAAUCACCCUCCAGACAAGGACAAUUCUGAGCCUUCCAGAAGAUGAAAUGCUGUCUCAACAACAUAUAGCAUUGCUUUCCUUUAAAGCUGUAUUUAAAACAAGGAAAUUAGAUUUUUACAGGAGGGGUUCUCACUUCAAUCGGAAGAGAUUCUUUGAGAUAUGUGUAACCAGACCAGCUCACCCACUUUCUAAACCCACAACUUCUCAUACCUGACAAAACAUCCAAGCUCCAGAUCACUCAAAUCUAAGAUUUGAGACUUUAUCUCCAACCUCUUGGGAACGCCGACCGUGGCACAACAACAGAUGUGGAAGAACAGAAGAUCUACAAGAUGGAAUUCUCAGCAAGAACAUUCCUGAAUCAAAUUUUUCACACAAGCAAGCCAAGUCAAAAAGCUGAAAACACAAACACAGGAUACUCCAGCAACACCCUUCAUGACUUGGCUGAGUGUAACAGGACUGUGCUGGCUCCCUGCCCAUACUCCAGCAGCAGCAGGGCAUUGCUACAGGGCACUGAUGAGUGAACACUUUGUCUCCAGGUGCUUCACAGACAAUAGGUGGCUGCCAGCUCUGCCAGCUGAAGGUCUGCAGAUGCCUCAAUAUAUACCCAGGUGCCUCACAAGGAUUUCUACUGCACUUGGUUACAACUUCAGAAAGGGCUAAAGCAAUAGAACUGCCUUGUGAAGUCAUCUGGCUGGAAGUACUGAGCCCAUGUGUUUGAGAUCUGGAAUACAGCAGAGCUGUGAAAUGCUGGAGCAGCAACCUGGGAGUCUGACAUUCACCUGCUUCUUCAUGAAU